RNAcentral lists this ribosomal RNA (497 nucleotides) under uncultured bacterium. Its description in RNAcentral is "partial 16S ribosomal RNA". It matches the Rfam family "Bacterial small subunit ribosomal RNA", at positions 28 to 507 of the family's 1533-position model. The record is from RNAcentral.
GAUGAACGCUGGCGGCGUGCCUAAUACAUGCAAGUCGAGCGAACAGACGAGGAGCUUGCUCCUUUGACGUUAGCGGCGGACGGGUGAGUAACACGUGGGUAACCUACCUAUAAGACUGGGAUAACUUCGGGAAACCGGAGCUAAUACCGGAUGAUAUUUCGAACCGCAUGGUUCGAUAGUGAAAGAUGGCCUUGCUAUCACUUAUAGAUGGACCUGCGCCGCAUUAGCUAGUUGGUAAGGUAACGGCUUACCAAGGCAACGAUGCGUAGCCGACCUGAGAGGGUGAUCGGCCACACUGGAACUGAGACACGGUCCAGACUCCUACGGGAGGCAGCAGUAGGGAAUCUUCCGCAAUGGGCGAAAGCCUGACGGAGCAACGCCGCGUGAGUGAUGAAGGUCUUCGGAUCGUAAAACUCUGUUAUUAGGGAAGAACAAACGUGUAAGUAACUGUGCACGUCUUGACGGUACCUAAUCAGAAAGCCACGGCUAACUACGUG